GGAACGGAGCAAUCCGGU
Molecule: small nuclear RNA, 18 nt
Filed under: Arabidopsis thaliana (thale cress)
Lineage: Eukaryota; Viridiplantae; Streptophyta; Magnoliopsida; Brassicales; Brassicaceae
Description: snRNA_13686
Source: RNAcentral